AUUGAACGCUGGCGGCAUGCCUUACACAUGCAAGUCGAACGGCAGCACGGGAGCAAUCCUGGUGGCGAGUGGCGAACGGGUGAGUAAUAUAUCGGAACGUGCCCAGUCGUGGGGGAUAACGUAGCGAAAGCUACGCUAAUACCGCAUACGAUCUAUGGAUGAAAGCGGGGGAUCGCAAGACCUCGCGCGAUUGGAGCGGCCGAUAUCAGAUUAGGUAGUUGGUGAGGUAAAGGCUCACCAAGCCGACGAUCUGUAGCUGGUCUGAGAGGACGAGCAGCCACACUGGGACUGAGACACGGCCCAGACUCCGACGGGAGGCAGCAGUGGGGAAUUUUGGACAAUGGGCGCAAGCCUGAUCCAGCAAUGCCGCGUGCAGGAUGAAGGCCUUCGGGUUGUAAACUGCUUUUGUACGGAACGAAACGGCGAGCUCUAAUACAGUUUGCUAAUGACGGUACCGUAAGAAUAAGCACCGGCUAACUACGUGCCAGCCGCCGCGGUAA
This 500-nucleotide ribosomal RNA is filed under the name uncultured bacterium. RNAcentral's name for it is "partial 16S ribosomal RNA". It matches the Rfam family "Bacterial small subunit ribosomal RNA", at positions 30 to 523 of the family's 1533-position model. The record is from RNAcentral.